Octopus bimaculoides (California two-spot octopus) is the source of this 748-nucleotide long non-coding RNA. RefSeq lists it as uncharacterized. The record is from RefSeq and is a predicted model, not a curated record. Lineage: Eukaryota; Metazoa; Mollusca; Cephalopoda; Octopoda; Octopodidae.
UUUUGGUAGUUUUGACUUAUUAAGUCCCUCUAAGCGUGUGACUUUAUUAUAUAAUAAUGCCCUUAUAUAGAUUAUAUAUAUUUAUGGAAAAAAAAUGGUUUUUUUUUUCCUUAUGAGGUUUUUUUCACGCUGACUACUUGAUAAAUUCUUAAAAAGAUUUUAUCCUUAUAUUAUAUAUAUAUAUAUAUAUAUAUAUAUAUAUAAAUGCAUAUAUAUUCGUGUGUCAUUCAACACAAUUUAAAAUGAUUAUUUUCUUCACACUGUUUCCAGAGAUUAUGCUCGGACCAUACCCAAACCGUUUACAGUGCGCUAUAACCCGUACACUCAGGCCUUGGAAAUGGUUGACAACAAAGACAGAAUACUCAAUAUAUGCAAGUCCAUCCAGUCCGACAUCUCACUGCUCGAAGACGCCAUUCAAAAAGUCGAUCCGGGAACGAAAUCAAAACGAUGAGAUUUGAAACCCACGAUCAGGGAUUUCCCAGGUUUGGGAAGAAUUUCGAAUAUUUUCAGUCAUUUAAUGAAUCUUUCUAUCAGAAGAAUUCGUAGAAAAAAAAAAAUUAAAAAAAAAAAACAAAAAAAAAAACACAUCUGAAAAUAAUUAUGAGAAAAUACAUGUUGGAUUUUGAUACAUAUAAUUCUUUGGAAUUUUUACUUCAACUGAGAUGUGAAGAAUCUUAGAAUGCAAUUUUAAACACUUUCCGUUUUUUUAAAAUAUGUAUUUCAUAUUCAGCGUAAAAUAAAACAAAAA